GCGCCUACUAGUGUGAGCUAGGCAAGACAAACCCUUAACUUCUUACUUCAUUAAUCAACUACUCCUUUUUAACAAAUGUAAGGCGAUAACAGAAAAGCAGCGGAAAUUUAAAUAAUUAAGCGAAAGAUAACAAUUAAAUAUCUGAAAUCUACAUCUCAACCACCCAAAACCUGGUUUCACAAUGUCACAGACAGUCUAAGAUUUACUACAUACAAAGUCUGAAGAAAUAAUAAUACACUGUUUCUGAAUAAAAGGAAAAUGAAACAGGAAAUAGGGAUAGAGGGAGACGCCAGGGCCUGCGGACGCCUACAGGUCUACCUUGGAUCUCCACGUGAACUGGAGGUAGCCUCCACACUACGGUCCGAAAGCUACUCCGGGAUCUGCACACAGUGCAGAGUGUAGUAUCAGCACAACCAACCCCAUGUGCUGCUAAGUGUCUAGCCUAACCUCGGCGAAGUAGUGACGAGGCUAGGACCAAACUACCAAACAAACCUGUGCAGUUCAAAUAUAUAUAUAUAGUAGACAAGAAAUGCAAAAAUAACCAGUCAAUAUGGGAGGGGGAACAUGCUGUGGGGGACAUAACAGUUUUGAAUAGAAAGACAUCAAGUAAGGAAAGAAUCAAUAUAACUCGGAUAUCAACAAAGAAUCAGAAAUCAACAAAUGCAUGGCAUCACCCUUUGUGCUUUUACUCUCGUCCUCACCAAAGCAGUUAUAUAAUAAAAAUGUGCACGACAUCACCCUUCGUGUUUUUACUCUCUUUCCUCACCAUGUAGUCAAUAAAAUUGGCACGAAAUGGUACAUCGUGCGGCACGACAUCACCCUUCGUGCUUUACACUCUUUCCUCACAAUAACAAACAAUGUACGACAUCACCCUUCGUGCUUUAACACUUUUCCUCACCCAAACAACAAUUACAGCAAUGGGGCAAGGGAAUAAAUGAAAUUGCAAUAAAGAUCCCGACAAGGGAAUAACAAUUCAAUAAAUAAAUCCCGGCAAGGGAACAUCAUCAAUAACCUCAACAUCCCGGCAAGGGAGAUAAUGAAUAAAUCAACAAAAGCCCGGCAAGGGCGACAACAUAAUGAUCACUUAUACUUUCACAAUUCGUUAUACAACUUGAGCCAACGCUCCUCAAUGUUCAUAGGUCAUAAUUACUUCCACAAACUUUAUACAACAAGUAGAAACCAUUACCAAGGCAUGAUAGAUACAACGAAGUCAUGAUAAUCACAAUAUAAGACUCACAUGUAUGCUAGAUACCAACGUAUAGAUACUCAUCACCAUGUCUAUACGUCGUACUCAACAAUUACCACAUAGCAAAUAGGACUCGACUCCUAAUCCCUUAAGCUAAGGUUAGACCAAACACUUACCUCGAUGCCACGAACGCAAUUCACGAUUCAAUUAUAGCUUUUCCCCUUGAUUCCACCACCAAUUCGCGCGUAUCUAGUCACAAGUUACUUAAUUACAUCAAUAAAUACUAAAUGAACCAAUUUGAAUGCAUGAAAAUGAGUUUUCUAAAGUUUUACCCAAAAAUUCAAAAAUCGCCCCCGAUCCCACAUGGUCAAAACCCGAGAUUCGAACCAAAACCUGAUUACCCAUUCCCCCCACGAAGUCAAAUAUAUAAUUUGUUUUGAAAUCAGACCUCAAAUCAAGGUCCAAAUCCCCAAUUUUUGAAAAACAGAGGUUCUACCCAAAACACCUAAUUUCCCCUAUGAAAAUCAUUGAUUUUGAGUUGAAAUCAUGUUAAAAGAUGUUAAGGAGUGAAGAAAAUGAGUUAGAAAUCACUUACCAACGUUUUGGAGAAGAAAGGUUGUUUGAAAAAUCACCUCUUAUGUUUUUGGGGUUUUAAAAAAUAAAAAAUAACUGAAAAUCCCGUCUAAAUAUACCCCUCUCAGACCCCCUGUGCGGACCGCACAAAAUGGAGUACGGCCGCACAGCUCACCAGGUUGACUACAGGGAAAUGCUCUAGUAUUUUGGCCAUAACUUUCUCUACAGAUGUCCAAAUUGUGAUUUCUUCAACCUUCUGGAAACUAGACACGAAGGGCUAGAACUUUCAUUUUUCGAAUCAUCUCAAAAUUCCUUGUAGAUCAAAAGAUAUGGGCUUCCGAAGUCGGACCAGUGAAACGUUCUUCACUGCGGACCGCACAGAAUCUAGUGCGGCCGCACAGGCCCACACCGCGGUCCGCACAAGCCCCUUCGCGGUAGCAUUCCUUUUUGUGCGGACCGCACUGGUCAGUUCAGAGGCCUUCCACCUCUCUGAACCUGCAACACCUAUGUUUUUAAGCCUAAGACAUCCCGGAACCUAUCCGAAACUCACCCGAGCCCUUAGAACUCCAAACCAAGUGUGCAUACUAACUCAAAAAAUCAUAUGGACCUAUUAAUGUGAUCACAUCAUCAAAAUAACAUGUAAAAUCAUGAAUUAAACCUCAAAACUCAACAUUUUCCUCAAGAACUCUUAAAGUUCAUAACUCUUCAACCAGAAGUCCAACUCACGUCAAAUAAACUCCGUUUUUCACCAAAUUUCACAGUUAUCUUUCAAAUACUAUAACAAUUGUACCGGGCUCUAGAACCUAAAUACGAGCCCGAUAACAAUGGUUUCAAAUAUGAAUUCUUUUCUUUAUUCCUUAGAUAAUUCAGUAAAACAAUUUCUUUCAAAAAUUGAUUUCUAAGGGUUGGGACCUCGGAAUUCAUUUCCUAGCAUACGCCCAAGUCCCAUAUUUUAUUCCGGACCUCCCGGGAUUGUCGGAACACGGAUCUGGGUCCGUUUGCUAAAAAUGUUGACCAAGGUCAACCAUAAUCAAAGUUUUAACUCUAAAAUUUCUAUUUCUCAUAUUUUCACAUAGAAGGCUUUCCGAAUAUAGGUCCGGACCACGCACGUAAAUCAAGGUGGGGUAAAAAGGGAGGUUUUUAGGCCUCGGAACACUGAAUGAACUUGCAACACAAGUGAUGACCUUUUGGGUCAUCACAUUCUCUACCUCUAAAACAACCGUUCAUCCUCGAGCGGACAUAAGAAGGAAGUACCUGAGUCGGGAAAAAGAUGGGGAUAAUGGCUCCACAUAUCGGACUCGGACUCCCAGGUCGAUGCCUCAGCGGGCUGACCUCUUCACUGAACACGAAUAGAAGGAAAAAUCUUCGAUCUCAAUUGACGAACAUGCCGGUCUAGAAUAGCUACUGACUCCUCCUCAUAAGACAAGUCCUUGUCCAACUGGAUAGUGCUGAAAUCUAACACGUGGGAUGGAUCGACGUAAUAUUUCCGAAGCAUGGACACAUGAAACACUGGAUGCAUGACUGAUAAGCUCGGCGGCAAUGCAAGUCUAUAAGCCACCUCCCACUCGAUCAAGAAUCUCAAACGGGUCAAUGAACCUAGAGCUAAGCUUGCCCUUCCUCCCAAAUCUCAUCACGCCCUUCAUAGGCGACACUGGAAGCAAUACCCACUCACCGACCAUGAAUGCCAAAUCUCGAACCUUGCGGUCGGCAUAACUCUUUUUCCUGGACUGAGCUAUACGAAGCCUAUCCUGAAUAAUUCUGACCUUGUCCAAGGCAUCCUGAACCAGAUCCGUACCCAACAACUGAGCCUCUCGCGGCUCAAACCAUCCAACCGGAGACCGGCACUGCCUACCAUAUAAAGCCUCAUAAGGAGCCAUCUGGAUACUCGACUGGUAGUUGUUGUUGUAGGCAAACUCUGCUAAAGGCAAAAACUGAUCCCACGAGCCUCCAAAGUCAAUAACACAAGCUCAGAGCAUAUCCUCAAGAAUCUGAAUAGUCCGCUCAGACCGCCCAUUUGUCUGAGGAUGAAAUGUUGUGAUCAACUCAACUUGAGUGCCCAACUCUCGCUGAACUACUCUCUAGAAACAUGAGGUAAAAAGCGUACCUUGAUCCGAAAUGAUAGAUACGGGCACACCAUGAAGGCGGACAAUCUCCCGAAUAUAGAUCUCAACUAACUUCUCGGAAGAAUAAGAGGCUACCAUAGGAAUGAAGUGCGUUGACUUGGUCAGCCUAUCAACAAUGACCCAUACUGCGUCGAACUUCCUCCAAGUCUACAGGAGUCCAACAACGAAAUCCAUAGUGAUCCGCUCCCACUUCCACUCGGGAAACUCAAUCCUCUGAAACAAGCCACCAGGCCUCUGAUGCUCAUACUUAACCUGCUUACAAUUCAAACACCGAGCCACAUAUGCAAUGAUAUCCUUCUUCAUUCUCCGCCACCAAUAAUGCUGCCGCAAAUCUUGAUACAUCUUCACGGCGCCCGGAUGGAUAAAGUACCUGGAACUAUGAGCUGUGUCACACCUCCCUUUUUCCUAUCCCCCGAGAAGGGAGUAUAUGGGAGUUUUUUCCAAUUUAAGUGACAAUCGAAACAGAAUUAUUUAUUUAAAAUUCAGAGUCGCCACUUGAGAUAAUUUAUGGUGUCCCAAGUCACUGGUUUAAAUCCCAAAUCGAGGAAAGAUUGACUGUGUUUUACAGUCCGCGAACACAGAUAUUCGGGUAAGGAAUUUUGUUAACCCGGGAGAAGGUGUUAGGCAUUCCCGGGUUCCGUGGUUCUAGCACAGUCGCUCAACUAUUAAUAUUAGCCCAAUUAUCUGAUUUUUGCACGUUUUAAACCUAUUGUGCCUUUUUAACCUUUUAGCUGCUUUUAUUUAUUUAAAGAAUUAAUUCAAGGUUAUUUAAAAUAUAUCGCAAGCCACGCUACAUGAAAUGCACUCGUGAUUCACGACACGUUCUAUUUAACCUUGUUGGGAAUUAGAAUCGGGUCACAUGAAAUGCACACCCGUAUUGAGAUUCACGUAUCGUGACCAUACCACGGGAACCGUACCCAUGGCCACGAUGAUUUAUUAAUCGCGCAUCAAAUUCCAACCGACUUUAGCAAACAUGAAACAUUAUGAAAAGCACUAUUACACACAAUUUCUAAAAUACUUCAUGAAAGGUUAAUAAGUGAUAUUUCUCAAUGGAAACCUUCAAACCAAGAGUCUUCCCACGCAAAAAAAAUCAUGUUUAAACAAAAGAUAGAAAGCAAAUGCUAUUAUUCUAAUCAACUCAACUUUGAAUCUACCAGGAAAUGUAGAUCAACCUGUCAUUGCUCAUCUCAUACAACCUAAACCACCAAAAGACUAUAACUAUUGUAGCCUAUCCACCAUUGAACCGAAGCUGCUCUUAAGUUUCCACCACAACAAAAGCUAAUCAACUAAUACCAAGUCAAGCUAAAGAUUGAUUUAUUAUUCACCUAUAUACAAUCUUCUUAAAAAAACCAACUUGCAAACAUAGGUAACUGCCUUAUUUAAAAAUUCUUCACUAACCCCUCAUCACACAUUCAUCAAUCCACAUUUCAAGAUUGAGAAUGCGAUGAAGAGUCUAUCAAGAGCGAUACAUUACUAUCUCAAAUCAGAAAAGCUAAAACAUAUGUUAACAAGACAUUCCAACUUGACUAAAUUAAUGGAUUGUUCCGAAUAAAUCAAAUAAAGAAGAGAAGAAUGGAAAAUGGACCUGUUUAGUCGAAACUCAUUCUUAAUGUUGAAUCGACGGAUACAAACCUCAGCUCCGCAAUUCGGCUAAGGACAACCAUAAAAAUCGAGCAAAGCCACGAACCAAAUCGGAGCGACGAACAAAACCUCAAACGACUAGUUUUAUGGCUCAAAAGCUUUGAAUCGCAAAACUCAUUAACUAAUCACAAAACUCAAAAGCUAGUGGUGUCUCCAUUCGUCGAUGAUCAAUUUCGAUGAGGCAACAACUCGAGCGACAAAACUAAAGGGGGAUCGGCUACUAUCAUCUUUCACUGUUAAGAGGAAAAUGAGAGAGAUUUUUGGGAGUUGGCGGCUGAUGUUAUCUUAGAAUCAGUGGAGAGCUGAGAGUUGAGAGCUUUUUUUUUCACGGGGUAUACGAUUGCUCCCUUUUCAACCAGAAGGAGUAGCUGCUCUCCUCUCUGUAUGUUAGGUUCGCUGUUUUCCUUUUUGUGUUGUGUGUGUGUGUUUUCGGUUGUUUCUUUAUGUCCAGAAGAUGAUAGGAGGGCUCCGUUCUUAGAGGAUUCGAGGGUUUCUGUUCAGUCCUUCAUGAAGAAAAGACUUAGUUUUUUUUUGUGCAGGUCUCCUAUCAGAAACAGCGGAUGCUUCGUGUAUCUCUGUUUGCGGCUGAUGUCCUCCUUUUUGAUUUUAGGCGUUAGGUAUAU
Molecule: long non-coding RNA, 6146 nt
Filed under: Nicotiana tabacum (common tobacco)
Lineage: Eukaryota; Viridiplantae; Streptophyta; Magnoliopsida; Solanales; Solanaceae
Description: long non-coding RNA (NTAB_LNC013222)
Source: RNAcentral